GUCAAGAACUUGUUGAAUAACAGGUAAUGGUUAUAUCAUUCAAACUUCUUUUACUUUUGCUUGUUUCUGGUUUUUGUUUAUCUUCGAUUUGCUAACCUCAAAACUGAAAAAAGUUGGACUAGAGCAUUAAGUUUUGGACAUUAUGUGUGGUUUUGGACACUAUGUCUCAUCUUCGUUUGAUUCAGCUGAGUUUGCUAGGGAAGGUUAGCAAGAGGAAUUCUAAUGAAAAUUUGAAAAAAAAUUUCAUAUAUUGGGUUUUUAAGAUUAAAGAGCAUCAGUAAGCACAGCAAGCGAUUAUUUAUUAUUCUCUUUCUUCAUGUGUGAUGCUUUUUCUUCUACUUUGUUCUUGUCUUGCGUGUGGGAGAAUAUGUGCUGUAAAGUAGCAUGCUUUGUGGGAGUGGGAUUAGUAACUUUUUAUUGUCAA
RNAcentral lists this unclassified non-coding RNA (424 nucleotides) under Hevea brasiliensis (rubber tree). The record is from RNAcentral. Lineage: Eukaryota; Viridiplantae; Streptophyta; Magnoliopsida; Malpighiales; Euphorbiaceae.